UACGGAGGGUGCAAGCGUUGUUCGGAUUGACUGGGCGUAAAGGGCGUGUAGGCGGUUGGUCAAGUCUGGUGUGAAAGCCCGGGGCUUAACCCCGGAAGUGCAUUGGAAACUAGCCAGCUAGAGCGCGAGAGAGGAGGGUGGAAUUCCUGGUGUAGCGGUGAAAUGCGUAGAUAUCAGGAGGAACACCGGCGGCGAAGGCGGCCCUGUGGCUCGUUGCUGACGCUGAAACGCGAAAGCGUGGGGAGCAAACAGG
This 253-nucleotide ribosomal RNA is filed under the name uncultured bacterium. RNAcentral describes it as "partial 16S ribosomal RNA". It matches the Rfam family "Bacterial small subunit ribosomal RNA", at positions 524 to 776 of the family's 1533-position model. The record is from RNAcentral.